UCUAGUAUUCACGCAAGUCUGUGUGACUGCAAACACGAGGAACAAUCUGCAGCUGACUGCAAUCUCUAGCGCUGGCACAGGAAAUCUAUAUUUAGCAGCAAUGGCUGCAGGUACUGGUGUCUGCCUCUAUGCCUCUGUGCCAGAGGGAUAAAGAGGGAAAGACAGAGGACUAGUGCUUCAUAUCCCCCCUCUGGCCUCCCCGUCUCCCUGCUCCCUGUCACUCCAUCCUUCCUUCCUCCCUCCCGGACCACCCGUCAGCGGCUGGAUCAACCCGCCCGGACCCUCCUCCCAUAGCCCCUUUGACUAUCCUCACUUCACCGUCCCAUCUAGAGAAGUGUGUUCAGGGAUUUCUGAUCGCUUGGAGUUAAAGCCUGGAUUUGACAGCGCCGUCACAGACGUAAGAGAAUCUUGGUUUGGAGAAGCAGAAGAAAACCAUUAAAAUAAAAAAA
Molecule: non-coding RNA, 449 nt
Organism: Danio rerio (zebrafish)
Lineage: Eukaryota; Metazoa; Chordata; Actinopteri; Cypriniformes; Danionidae
Source: Ensembl